UGGUAGGCGGCGUUAGAAGCGGAAAGACCCCAAAUUAAUACUCUGCCCUUUUUCGGCCUCCGAGUGUUAAUCUCUAGAAAUGUUUUCCGCGCUGGACCGCACCCAAGUCUGUUGCAAUACAGCGGCAUAGUGGUGAGACCCCCGUAUAUGGUGCGCAUGCCCAGCGCUUUGUGAUACAUUUUCGAAGAGUCGAGUUGUUAGGGAAUGCAGUUCAAAUUGGGUGGUAAAUUCCAUCUAAAGCUAAAUAUCGGCGAGAGACCGAUAGCGAACAAGUACCGUGAGGGAAAGAUGAAAAGCACUUAGGAAAGAGAGAUAACAGUACGUGAAAUUGUUGGAAGGGAAACGCUUGAAGUCAGACUUGCUUGCCGAGCAAUCGGUAAGCAGGGCAGCAUCAGUUUUCCGGGAUGGAUAAUGGUAGAGAGAAGGUAGCAGUCUGGACAAUAAAUCAUCAAGAACUGGAUACAUCAGUAGGGUUGAGGAACCC
Molecule: ribosomal RNA, 484 nt
Filed under: Rhodotorula sp. 7 GAMM-2015
Lineage: Eukaryota; Fungi; Basidiomycota; Microbotryomycetes; Sporidiobolales; Sporidiobolaceae
Description: eukaryotic LSU rRNA
Rfam family: Eukaryotic large subunit ribosomal RNA
Source: RNAcentral